Non-coding RNA from Paramuricea clavata, 505 nucleotides. Lineage: Eukaryota; Metazoa; Cnidaria; Anthozoa; Malacalcyonacea; Plexauridae. The record is from the annotation of a GenBank genome assembly.
UUCUUUAAUGAAGGAAAUAAUAUUGCUUUUUGCAAAUACACAUCACAGUAUCAACGCUACUAUUUUGUUACGUUUUGUUCCAAAAAUGUUGGACGUCUCUGGGGAGUUGCUUGUUAUGUCUUUACUUAUGGAGUUGUAUGGUUUGAUUUUGUUUCAUUCUCAGUUUAUUCUGAACUUGCCAAGAUUAAGAAAGGCAAAAGAGUUUGGGUGUUCUUAACAAGAUUUCAGAACGUUGCAGAAGUUAGAAAAUUCAUUCAAUGUGAAGUUAGAAAAUCCACAAUUCCAUUGUGACAGCAUGCCCUAAUUCAGAACUACGAACGAUCCAUGACGAUCCUUCGCGAUGCAGUGGUCUCAUGAAAUAAGGAAACGUAUUCGUGCUGGGAACACAUGCGGAUUUCGGACGAAUAAGUCUUGCUUUUAUUUUGUAGAUAAUAAUACUUUGUUUCAUAAUAAACGAUUUGUCAAGUGCCAUUUAUUUACUGGUAAUAAUGCAUGUUUCAGUCGG